RNAcentral lists this non-coding RNA (1736 nucleotides) under Pongo abelii (Sumatran orangutan). Lineage: Eukaryota; Metazoa; Chordata; Mammalia; Primates; Hominidae. The record is from RNAcentral.
CACGCACGUGGAGGUUGGUUAAAGGGAAGACUGGGUUUUAGUCCUGUCUCCAUCAACCUCAAGAUAUGGGACCUCAUGGAAGGGAGGGGAGGCAAUGCCGAGGAUGUGCUCCUGAGCAGGUGCCACAAUUCUUCACCUAUAAGGCUGAUCUAAGAAGAUUCCUAAUUAUCAAUUGGGAGCAGAGAUAUUCCACUUCCAAUUACAUGGCCCUGCCUGCUCACUCUUACUUCCUAUUCACACUCUCUUGGAGGCCACUUUGUGAUUCUACCAAAUCCUAUAGGAGAGGUGACAACCCCAAAGAGAAGGCUCUAGAAAGAUGACAUUUGGAAAUGUGUACGCUAGUGUCUGCUGGCUCCUCCCGAGCCACUUUUACUCUGUGAUUGAGAUGAAAGGCCACCUAACUGCCUAAAUCACCACAAAGGGACAAACUGGUAUCUCAGAGCACUCAGCAACAAAAACAAGCAAGCUAAGCCUCUGCACUGCAAUGUGGCAGGGCUUCUGGCUAGGUAUAGCAAGCAAUUCUGAUGUGGAGACAAACAGCAGCAAUGGAAAUGAUAUGCCAAUGAAGGAUUCCAACAGUUGGGUCUGCAAGCAUGCUUGUCCUGUGACACAAACAGCCUAGACAUCUCAGCACUGCUUGGAGCUGCUCACUGGGGGAGCCUAAGAAACAUCAGCCCUUUCACAACCUUUUGCUCCUGAGCAGAGCUCAUCUCCCAAGAGCACAUCAGCCCGCAGCCCAGUCUGACGAGAAGCACAGUAUUCCCCUGUGCCAGUGGCAGCCUCAGAGCAUCCUGAAAGAGCGCUUCCUAGACACGCAGUGGAAGCCAUGACUUCCCCUAAGCUGCCGGUGCUGCCUCUGAACUCACGUGGAGGUUCUUUUUUCAGUGUCCCCAGGGGCAGCAGAAAAAUCCGUUUUCCAUUUUGGAAUCUAUCAAGUAGGACAAAUCUGCCACCUGGGAGCAUCUCCUCAAGGGCAAUCUCUACUCCCUUUCCUACAUGGCCUGACAAUACCAUCGAGUUAGAAAUGUCCCAUGUUGGCUAGGCACAGUAGCUCAUGCCUGUAAUCCCAGCACUUUGGGAGGCUGAGGUGGGAGGAUUGCUUGAGGCCAGGAGUUUGAGACCAGCCUGGCAUAGAGAGACUAUGCCUCUAUUAUUUUAAAAAAAGAAAUGUCUCAUAUUUUUACCCUCUUCACUCAUCUUUCUACCUUGCUCCAAUAGAUUGCUGACAGAAAAGUGAGACCUCCUCCACCCCAAGGUCUCCUAAGAGAAUGCUGCUAGCCAAAAAAAGAUCUGCUGAUAAUUGAGGAACAGCAUCUUUAAAAAGACACUCAACUACAUUUCAGAAACAUAAAGAUCUAAGUGUUCGCUCUAUGAGGGAAGAAAUAAAGAGAAAGAACUUUUUUUUCCUCCUACAACAGGUCUAGACAACGUCACACAAGGAGUUGCACGCAUAUCCAAAACAAAAGCAAGGCAAAAACAAGCAAAAAAGCAACAAAUGCAUUCCAAAAUGAUGUCCAUUUAUCAGUCCAGAAAUGUACUGGAUACUGGUUUAGUUCAGCCUGUAGGUGCUGGGAAGAAAUUCACAAAUCCAAGUCAGUUGCAAAAAGGGAAAACUCCAGACAUAUCACCCAAUGAACUUGUAAGAAAGCAUAUGAGCUUCCCUGAACAGAUUUUACUCCAGGUUUGCAGCCCGCAAGGUUUAAGAUCGGGCCAUGAGGUUCAAUCUUGUAAACUCA